Molecule: long non-coding RNA, 629 nt
Organism: Lutra lutra (Eurasian river otter)
Lineage: Eukaryota; Metazoa; Chordata; Mammalia; Carnivora; Mustelidae
Exons: 3
Source: RefSeq, a predicted model, not a curated record
GGACUUCGCGGGGCUGCGGGACCCGCACCGGCUCAGGGCUCCCUGCCCGCACUUCGGAGAGCGCGGCACCUUAAAGGGACCUAGGCGCUUCCGCAGCGGGGUCCCGAGCAGCGGCCCCCGCAGACGGAGUCACUGACUUUGAGUUACGAAAAAAGAACCUAUAGCAGCUUGACAGUGAGGAGCUCUCUGCAUCUACCCUCCAGCAACACUGUUGACUCCCUUAUUGAAUACUUUUCACGACGAUUUGGCCUUCCUCCAGACCAUUGCAAGGGUCUGUGAUGUACACUUUCCUGCCACAAGUCAGAAAGAAAUGUUCACUGUGCUUCUGCCUCUGCUGCAACCCUUGGGCUAAGGCUGGAGAAAUGAGCUUGCUGUUCUGGAAAGCAUCUUGUUUACUGACUUCCAUGUAGAGGAAUAUAUGGUUUCCAUAUAGAGGAAGGUGGUUGGGAAUGCAUGUUGAAUGAGCCAAAUGACAGUAUCUGACAGAGACAGAUCAACAUACACAGGGACAGAUCAUCCUGUGCAAGGUGGCAACCACUAUGACAUAGUUACAAGAGGCUACUGUAGGGCAGCAUUGUCUGGGGGCUAGAAUCAGUGCAACAUGCAAAGGCUGACACUUGAAAAGACAA